This 445-nucleotide long non-coding RNA is filed under the name Eucalyptus grandis. RNAcentral describes it as "long non-coding RNA (EGRA_LNC004708)". The record is from RNAcentral. Lineage: Eukaryota; Viridiplantae; Streptophyta; Magnoliopsida; Myrtales; Myrtaceae.
UUGCUCAAUAUGGAGAUAGAGUUUGUACCUGUAUGAAGUUCAAGAUGGCCGGAGCAAUCCGUGCCACCUGACCUCAACUUAAGUGCAUCGCCUUGUCAACAAUCAGUUCCUCCACAAGCGGAAUUGAUACACAAUUUACGCCUGAAUUGUCCUCUGCUCACCUUUCACUUGGGGACGUUUUUCCAUGAAUCUCUUCAGCUCCUCGAGCCACUUACCGAGGGCUCUUCCAAGUGAGGCCAUCUGUUUAUUAUUGUUUGCUUCUGGAAGUCGGUUUAUGGAGACCUUGAUGUUCAGCCUAUGAGUUUUGCCGUCCAUUAUACAAGUCUUGUUGUCAUACUUUUUUUUUUGGUCAGUCAUAAUCUACUCAUAUUCUAAUACUCACUCUUAGACUUUUGUCAUGCCUCAUUGCAGGGUGUGAGAGUCAAAACCCACACUUGAAACUAAU